UACGUAGGGGGCGAGCGUUGUCCGGAUUCAUUGGGCGUAAAGCGCGCGCAGGCGGCUGUGCGAGCCCGGCGUGAAAUCCCCCGGCUCAACCGGGGAAGUGCCGCGGGGACCGGCGGUCUGGAGUGAGAUAGGGGCGUGCGGAACUGUGGGUGGAGCGGUGAAAUGCGUUGAUAUCCACAGGAACUCCGGUGGCGAAGGCGGCACGCUGGAUCUCUACUGACGCUGAGGCGCGAAAGCCAGGGGAGCGAACGGG
Molecule: ribosomal RNA, 253 nt
Filed under: uncultured bacterium
Lineage: Bacteria
Description: partial 16S ribosomal RNA
Rfam family: Bacterial small subunit ribosomal RNA
Source: RNAcentral